This 737-nucleotide ribosomal RNA is filed under the name Rhytismatales sp. 5552. RNAcentral describes it as "eukaryotic LSU rRNA". The stretch from base 370 to 523 matches the Rfam family "5.8S ribosomal RNA". Lineage: Eukaryota; Fungi; Ascomycota; Leotiomycetes; Rhytismatales. The record is from RNAcentral.
GCGCUGAGUUCAGCCUACCAAAGCAAACCUUUCAAAACUGCUAGUCUCUCCCCGAGGCGACACGCUCAAUGUUGCGGAGAGGCCCUCUUUUCAGAGGGUAAUCCGCAGCCGGCCCCCUAAAGGCUGGUUCAGAGACUCAAUGAGUGUGGGUUUGGCCUUUUGGCCAGGCUUAAGAUAGAGCCCGUCCCUGUAGGCAACUGCGGGGGAUGAACGGAACCUGCGGAAGGAUCAUUAAAGAAUCGGUGACCCUCGCGGUCCCAUUCUCACCCUUUGUAUACCAAACUUCAGUUGCUUUGGCUGGCCUUCGCGGGCCGGCCAGAGGACUCAAACCCUUGAAUCUUUGCUGUCUGAGUACUAUAUAAUAGUUAAAACUUUCAACAACGGAUCUCUUGGUUCUGGCAUCGAUGAAGAACGCAGCGAAAUGCGAUAAGUAAUGUGAAUUGCAGAAUUCAGUGAAUCAUCGAAUCUUUGAACGCACAUUGCGCCCUCUGGUAUUCCGGGGGGCAUGCCUGUUCGAGCGUCAUUACAACCCUCAAGCUCAGCUUGGUAUUGGGCUCGCCCUUCAUGGGCCUGCCUUAAAAUCAGUGGCGGCUCCGUCCAGUCUCAAGCGCAGUAAUACUCGCCGCUUGUUAGGCUUGGUCGGCGGUUUGCUAACAACCCCCAAUUUUACAAGGUUGACCUCGGAUCAGGUAGGGAUACCCGCUGAACUUAAGCAUAUCAUAGGGGCGGGGGGAAAA